This 796-nucleotide small RNA is filed under the name Pongo abelii (Sumatran orangutan). Its description in RNAcentral is "retained intron". The record is from RNAcentral. Lineage: Eukaryota; Metazoa; Chordata; Mammalia; Primates; Hominidae.
AGAAAAGAGAACCGAUGUUGUUUGUUUGUACAGUGUCAGUUGUAGAAGAGUGUAAGAGUUCCAUAAAAAUUUGGGAAACAGUAAAAUGUAGUAAGAGGAAAAUAUCAUUGUAUUAUUCAUAUUAGUACUCUCCAGUAUGACUUUCCAAUAUGAUAGAACUGUUCAUAAUCUGUGCUGUCCCAUACAAUAGCCAUUAGCCACAUGAAACUAAUGAGUACUUGAGACAUGGCUACUGUGAAGGAGUGCAAUAUUUCAUUAUAUUUAAAUAUUUUAGUAAUUUUAUUGUCUUUUUUUAAUUAUAGACUAACAGAUGUUAAUUUUGUUCUACUUAAUUUUUGAUUCUUUUUUCUUUUCAGGAAAAUAUAUGCAGAUGAUGAACAUUCUUAAGCCAAUUGCCUUUGAUGUUAUUCAUUUCAUGUCUCAACUAUUUGAUUAUUACUUGUAUGCAAUAUAUACCUUUUUUGGUCGGAAUGAUUCAUUGGAAUCAACAGGACUCGGCCUUAGUAGUAGCAGACUAAGAACAACUCUAAACAGAAUACAAGAAAGCCUUAUUGAUCUAGAAGUUUCAGCUGAUCCUACUGCCACACUCACAGCAGCAGAAGAAAGAAAGGAGAAGGUGCCAAGUCCACACCUCAGUCACCUAGUGGUUUUGACAUCUGGGGAUACGUUGCAUGGGUUGGCAGAAAGAGUGGUAGCCACGGAAUCCUUGGUAUUCUUGGCUGAACAGUUUGAGUUCCUUCAGCCACAUCUGGAUGCUGUGAUGCCUGCAGUCAAAAAGCCCUUUCUUCAGCAGUUC